CCAGCCAUGCCGCGUGCAGGAAGACGCAUCUAUGGUGUGUAAACUGCUUUUGUACGGGAAGAAACACUCCCUCGUGAGGGAGCUUGACGGUACCGUAAGAAUAAGGAUCGGCUAACUCCGUGCCAGCAGCCGCGGUAAUACGGAGGAUCCAAGCGUUAUCCGGAAUCAUUGGGUUUAAAGGGUCCGUAGGCGGUUUGGUAAGUCAGUGGUGAAAGCCCAUCGCUUAACGAUGGAACGGCCAUUGAUACUGCCAGACUUGAAUUACUAGGAAGUAACUAGAAUAUGUAGUGUAGCGGUGAAAUGCUUAGAUAUUACAUGGAAUACCAAUUGCGAAGGCAGGUUACUACUAGUGGAUUGACGCUGAUGGACGAAAGCGUGGGGAGCGAACAGGAUUAGAUACCCUGGUAGUCCACGCCGUAAACGAUGGAUACUAGCUGUUCGGAGUAAACUGAGUGGCUAAGCGAAAGU
This 468-nucleotide ribosomal RNA is filed under the name Bacteroidetes bacterium Mwo1. Its description in RNAcentral is "bacterial SSU rRNA". It matches the Rfam family "Bacterial small subunit ribosomal RNA", at positions 388 to 858 of the family's 1533-position model. The record is from RNAcentral. Lineage: Bacteria; Pseudomonadati; Bacteroidota.